Molecule: long non-coding RNA, 1964 nt
Organism: Hemicordylus capensis (graceful crag lizard)
Lineage: Eukaryota; Metazoa; Chordata; Lepidosauria; Squamata; Cordylidae
Exons: 8
Source: RefSeq, a predicted model, not a curated record
UUCACAGUGGUGCAUCACAACUUCAGCAGUUCUGCCACAGAGCUUGUGGUGGGCAGUGGUGAGCCUGAGCCAGUUCAGGGAGGGUUGGAGUCUGGCUUGAGGAUUCUUCUGAAGCAGUUGACUAGCUGGCUUUUAUUGCAAGACAGAGAACACAAGAUCUCUUCACUGAUCCUGCAAGGUGGCUGUAGUAUUUUGCCUUGAAAGACUGGAAGUUCCCUCCAUGAGAACCUGGGAGGACAAGGAUGGCCUCCUGUGCUGUUCUGCAGAGAGGAGCAGCCUUCGAUGGUGAGCAAAGAAGCAGUACCGCAGUCCCCUCUCGGGAGCAGCACCAGACUCUAGAAUGCUGCCGUGAAUGUCUUCAACUCUCUGCAUUGUAUGUAUUGAAGAGAUUGGAUAUGCUGCACUUGUUGAUGAGGAGCCCCGGAAGGGGCAGAGAGAAGAACUAGCACAGGCCCAACCCUGGCAGCAGCACGAUCAUCUAGAAUGCCAGAAACCAGCUCUGCUCCUCCCUGCCACUGGAGCAGGCUUUGAAGGGGUUGAAAGAAGCAAGACCACGGUGCCUCCCUCAGCAGCACUCUCUCUCUCUCUGGCAGUCGGCUCCUGGUGUUCUGCAGGGCAGCCUUGGAAGUGAUGGGAAGAAUUCGUGUGGUCCAUGAUGAAGGAAAACCAGGUUCUGGCUGGUCCAGGCCUGUGCAUGUCGAUAGUUGGCAAUAAAUGAGGCCCACAGGUGGCAUCAGGCUGAGAGAACAGUGUGAACAACACAAUGCUCCACCCCUUGGGUUUCUAGUUGGGAGCUGUAAAGCCACAUGUCUUUGUCUAAGCCUCUAUAUGCUUUGCUUUCUGAGUCUGAGCAGAAAGAAGACGUGAUGGAAUCCCAGUCUUGGGAGCAGCAGGAUCAGCUAGACUGCUGGAAAGCUCCUCCCUGCUGGUGGUGAUGGUAAGGAUUUCUACAGGUAGUGUUUGGUCUUCACUGUUGUGACAUGAGCAUUGUAGACAUCUGUUUUGCAGGAGCAGGCUCUGAAGGUGUGGAAAGAAGCAGUACCAGGGUCUCAAUCAGUAGGGGCAUCUUCUCUGUGCCCGAUGUUGCAGAGGAGCAGCUGCAGAAGUGGCAGAAACGAUUGGUGCAGCCACAGCCUCAGGUGCAACACGAUUCUCGGACACAAGAAACCUCUGUGACUGGUGGCAGACAUGCUUGACGUUUGGAUCUUGUCACGAACCCAGCUCUGACCGACAUGACUCGCAGGCCAGCAUGGGCGCCCUCAAAAACCCCUUGCCUGUGUUGUAGCUGGCUCUGUAUUGAGGCUUCUCUUCACCUGCACUGUUGGCAGAAGCACCUUGCAGGAUGUCUUGCUUCUCAUUCCUGUGCCCUGCUCUUGGAUGUCUCCGCUCCUGACACUCGAACUCUGACUUUGCCUGCUUCGAAUGGACUGACACUUUCCUUCAGCCUCGCACCCCUCUUGCCCAGCUGGGACAGCCAGAAGACAGACACUGCUCAGCCUUGGUUCUGCUGCCUUGGUCAGCAUUGUGGUCUUCAUUUCCUAAGUACCUAAUAAUCUGCAUCUCCGGCCACUAACUACAUCAGUGUUGUCUUGGAGUCUCCUGUGAGAGGAGAGACGCUGUGCCCCUGGGGCUUAUAAAGAGGGAGGGCGUGCCCCCAAGAGGCACACUGGAUCUAGUCUUCCACCAAGUGAGACUACCUGUGACUCUAUCCAUCACCUGCCCUGCCUAGCAUCGCGCCCCCCCCCCCCCGUCUGAGGAAGCACCAGCUGCCACUGAGGGAUGGGCCUUUUCUGGGGCUACGCUGAGACUCUGGAAUCCAUUCCCUGCAGAAAUCAGAGCCUCCCCAUCUCAGACUACUUAAGACAUUGGACACAUUUCUUCACCCAAGCUUUUAAAGUAGAUGUGGCUUUAACUUCCUGGUCUUUGACUGUAAUAAAGAUGUGUAUCUGAAGGUUUUAGUUGGU